Lynx canadensis (Canada lynx) is the source of this 343-nucleotide non-coding RNA. The record is from the annotation of a RefSeq genome assembly. NCBI's taxonomy places the organism in Eukaryota, Metazoa, Chordata, Mammalia, Carnivora, Felidae.
CAUGGAGUUUGGGCUGGGCUGGGUGUUCCCGGUUCCUCUUUUAAAAGGUGUCCAGUGUGACAUGCAGCUGGUGGAGUCUGGGGGAGACCUGGUGAAGCCUGGGGGGUCCCUGAGACUCACCUGUGUAGCCUCUGGAUUCACCUUCAGUAGCUAUGGAAUGAUCUGGGUCUGCCAGGCUCUAGGGAAGGGGCUGCAGUGGGUCGCAUAUAUUACUUAUGGAGGUAGCACAUACUACGCAGACUCUGUGAAGAGCCGAUUCACCAUCUCCAGACACAACGCCAAGAACACGCUGUAUCUGCAGAUGAACAUGAGGGUCGAGGACAUGGCCACAUAUUACUGUUAG